RNAcentral lists this ribosomal RNA (497 nucleotides) under uncultured bacterium. Its description in RNAcentral is "partial 16S ribosomal RNA". It matches the Rfam family "Bacterial small subunit ribosomal RNA", at positions 28 to 507 of the family's 1533-position model. The record is from RNAcentral.
GACGAACGCUGGCGGCGUGCCUAAUACAUGCAAGUUGAGCGCUGAAGGUUGGUACUUGUACCAACUGGAUGAGCAGCGAACGGGUGAGUAACGCGUGGGGAAUCUGCCUUUGAGCGGGGGACAACAUUUGGAAACGAAUGCUAAUACCGCAUAAAAACUUUAAACACAAGUUUUAAGUUUGAAAGAUGCAAUUGCAUCACUCAAGGAUGAUCCCGCGUUGUAUUAGCUAGUUGGUGAGGUAAAGGCUCACCAAGGCGAUGAUACAUAGCCGACCUGAGAGGGUGAUCGGCCACAUUGGGACUGAGACACGGCCCAAACUCCUACGGGAGGCAGCAGUAGGGAAUCUUCGGCAAUGGACGAAAGUCUGACCGAGCAACGCCGCGGGAGUGAAGAAGGGUGUCGGAUCGUAAAACUCUGUUGGUAGAGAAGAACGUUGGUGAGAGUGGAAAGCUCAUCAAGUGACGGUAACUACCCAGAAAGGGACGGCUAACUACGUG